Molecule: ribosomal RNA, 388 nt
Filed under: Gephyrocapsa sp.
Lineage: Eukaryota; Haptophyta; Isochrysidales; Noelaerhabdaceae
Description: partial small subunit ribosomal RNA
Rfam family: Eukaryotic small subunit ribosomal RNA
Source: RNAcentral
AUUCCAGCUCCAAUAGCGUAUAUUAAAGUUGUUGCAGUUAAAACGCUCGUAGUCGGAUUUCGGGGCGGGCCGACCGGUCUGCCGAUGGGUAUGCACUGGCCGGCGCGUCCUUCCACCCGUAGACCGCGCCUACUCUUAACUGAGCGGGCGCGGGAGACGGGUCUUUUACUUUGAAAAAAUCAGAGUGUUUCAAGCAGGCAGUCGCUCUUGCAUGGAUUAGCAUGGGAUAAUGAAAUAGGACUCUGGUGCUAUUUUGUUGGUUUCGAACACCGGAGUAAUGAUUAACAGGGACAGUCAGGGGCACUCGUAUUCCGCUGAGAGAGGUGAAAUUCUCAGACCAGCAGAAGACGAACCACUGCGAAAGCAUUUGCCAGGGAUGUUUUCAUUA